GUGUGACAGGGUAUGUCUGGAGAAUCUGGCACUAAAGGACAGCACAGAGUGAGGAGACCUUGGACAUAAUGGUCCAACAUGGAGACUCUGGGAAGCCAGGUGAUGUAGGACCCCCUGGACUGCCUGGUCCUCGGGGGUUGAACGGCAUGAGCGGUGUGCAUGGCAGGCCGGGUAUUGAGGGUCCACCGGGACAAGAUAUAUCUGACCAGCAUAUUAUUGAUGUGGUAUAAAGAAUGUUGCAAGAGAGGCUGGCAGCAGUAGCAGUGAGCACUAAAAGGGCUGUGCCGUUGAACAACCGGCUAUUCUGGUCCUCCGUGAUUAAUGGUUCCACAAGGACCACAUGGUUUGCCUGGUUCCCGAAAAAUUCCUGGAACGAUGGGAGCUGACAGACGGAUUGGAAACACAGGUCUUAAAGCUGGAUGUCCCCUCAUCGACAGCUGGAGAGCGAAUGAGCCGGUGGAGUAGGAGGAGGACUUAUUUAUGAGAGCUCUACAGGGGUGGAGCUUCGGUUCCCCUGCAGUGUCACAACGGACCUCUCAGCCCAACCACGCAAGACAAUCUGGAUGUCCCCUCAUCGACAGCUGGAGAGCGAAUGAGCCGGUGGAGUAGGAGGAGGACUUAUUUAUGAGAGCUCUACAGGGGGUGGAGCUUCGGUUCCCCUGCAGUGUCACAACGGACCCCUCAGCCCAACCACGCAAGACAAUGUAAAUAUGGUUGUUCUUUUGUGCCUCAACUCCUGUCAUGUGUUUGAGCUCCUCACCACACUGACAUGGUGCCACUUGCACUCACGUCCCUCGCAAACAGAGUCCCCAGGAAGCCCCACGACCGGCAGAACGCCACCCAAAGACGGACUGGAGGCACUGGCGGGUUAGGUUUGGGGUUAGGAUUAGGGUUGGGGUAAGGGUGUGCUCGGUCCGUCUGCAGCCCGCCCGGGCGACGCCCACACCAGUCGCAGAACCCCCCGAGAACCCCGAAGGCGUACAACGCCAAACUCCUGGGUGUGCAGUGUGGUGGCAAACACGGCCAAAUGGUUUUGGCUGUCCAACGACGCGUUUCGGUCCCUCAGACCUCAUCAGGUUGGCUGUUCUCUAACACACGGCUUCUUACUUGUCUUCACAGCUGGAUGUCCCCUCAUCGACAGCUGGAGAGCGAAUGAGCCGGUGGAGUAGGAGGAGGACUUAUUUAUGAGAGCUCUACAGGGGGUGGAGCUUCGGUUCCCCUGCAGUGUCACAACGGACCCCUCAGCCCAACCACGCAAGACAAUGUAAAUAUGGUUGUUCUUUUGUGCCUCAACUCCUGUCAUGUGUUUGAGCUCCUCACCACACUGACAUGGUGCCACUUGCACUCACGUCCCUCGCAAACAGAGUCCCCAGGAAGCCCCACGACCGGCAGAACGCCACCCAAAGACGGACUGGAGGCACUGGCGGGUUAGGUUUGGGGUUAGGAUUAGGGUUGGGGUAAGGGUGUGCUCGGUCCGUCUGCAGCCCGCCCGGGCGACGCCCACACCAGUCGCAGAACCCCCCGAGAACCCCGAAGGCGUACAACGCCAAACUCCUGGGUGUGCAGUGUGGUGGCAAACACGGCCAAAUGGUUUUGGCUGUCCAACGACGCGUUUCGGUCCCUCAGACCUCAUCAGGUUGGCUGUUCUCUAACACACGGCUUCUUACUUGUCUUCACAGCUGGAUGUCCCCUCAUCGACAGCUGGAGAGCGAAUGAGCCGGUGGAGUAGGAGGAGGACUUAUUUAUGAGAGCUCUACAGGGGGUGGAGCUUCGGUUCCCCUGCAGUGUCACAACGGACCCCUCAGCCCAACCACGCAAGACAAUGUAAAUAUGGUUGUUCUUUUGUGCCUCAACUCCUGUCAUGUGUUUGAGCUCCUCACCACACUGACAUGGUGCCACUUGCACUCACGUCCCUCGCAAACAGAGUCCCCAGGAAGCCCCACGACCGGCAGAACGCCACCCAAAGACGGACUGGAGGCACUGGCGGGUUAGGUUUGGGGUUAGGAUUAGGGUUGGGGUAAGGGUGUGCUCGGUCCGUCUGCAGCCCGCCCGGGCGACGCCCACACCAGUCGCAGAACCCCCCGAGAACCCCGAAGGCGUACAACGCCAAACUCCUGGGUGUGCAGUGUGGUGGCAAACACGGCCAAAUGGUUUUGGCUGUCCAACGACGCGUUUCGGUCCCUCAGACCUCAUCAGGUUGGCUGUUCUCUAACACACGGCUUCUUACUUGUCUUCACAGCUGGAUGUCCCCUCAUCGACAGCUGGAGAGCGAAUGAGCCGGUGGAGUAGGAGGAGGACUUAUUUAUGAGAGCUCUACAGGGGGUGGAGCUUCGGUUCCCCUGCAGUGUCACAACGGACCCCUCAGCCCAACCACGCAAGACAAUGUAAAUAUGGUUGUUCUUUUGUGCCUCAACUCCUGUCAUGUGUUUGAGCUCCUCACCACACUGACAUGGUGCCACUUGCACUCACGUCCCUCGCAAACAGAGUCCCCAGGAAGCCCCACGACCGGCAGAACGCCACCCAAAGACGGACUGGAGGCACUGGCGGGUUAGGUUUGGGGUUAGGAUUAGGGUUGGGGUAAGGGUGUGCUCGGUCCGUCUGCAGCCCGCCCGGGCGACGCCCACACCAGUCGCAGAACCCCCCGAGAACCCCGAAGGCGUACAACGCCAAACUCCUGGGUGUGCAGUGUGGUGGCAAACACGGCCAAAUGGUUUUGGCUGUCCAACGACGCGUUUCGGUCCCUCAGACCUCAUCAGGUUGGCUGUUCUCUAACACACGGCUUCUUACUUGUCUUCACAGCUGGAUGUCCCCUCAUCGACAGCUGGAGAGCGAAUGAGCCGGUGGAGUAGGAGGAGGACUUAUUUAUGAGAGCUCUACAGGGGGUGGAGCUUCGGUUCCCCUGCAGUGUCACAACGGACCCCUCAGCCCAACCACGCAAGACAAUGUAAAUAUGGUUGUUCUUUUGUGCCUCAACUCCUGUCAUGUGUUUGAGCUCCUCACCACACUGACAUGGUGCCACUUGCACUCACGUCCCUCGCAAACAGAGUCCCCAGGAAGCCCCACGACCGGCAGAACGCCACCCAAAGACGGACUGGAGGCACUGGCGGGUUAGGUUUGGGGUUAGGAUUAGGGUUGGGGUAAGGGUGUGCUCGGUCCGUCUGCAGCCCGCCCGGGCGACGCCCACACCAGUCGCAGAACCCCCCGAGAACCCCGAAGGCGUACAACGCCAAACUCCUGGGUGUGCAGUGUGGUGGCAAACACGGCCAAAUGGUUUUGGCUGUCCAACGACGCGUUUCGGUCCCUCAGACCUCAUCAGGUUGGCUGUUCUCUAACACACGGCUUCUUACUUGUCUUCACAGCUGGAUGUCCCCUCAUCGACAGCUGGAGAGCGAAUGAGCCGGUGGAGUAGGAGGAGGACUUAUUUAUGAGAGCUCUACAGGGGGUGGAGCUUCGGUUCCCCUGCAGUGUCACAACGGACCCCUCAGCCCAACCACGCAAGACAAUGUAAAUAUGGUUGUUCUUUUGUGCCUCAACUCCUGUCAUGUGUUUGAGCUCCUCACCACACUGACAUGGUGCCACUUGCACUCACGUCCCUCGCAAACAGAGUCCCCAGGAAGCCCCACGACCGGCAGAACGCCACCCAAAGACGGACUGGAGGCACUGGCGGGUUAGGUUUGGGGUUAGGAUUAGGGUUGGGGUAAGGGUGUGCUCGGUCCGUCUGCAGCCCGCCCGGGCGACGCCCACACCAGUCGCAGAACCCCCCGAGAACCCCGAAGGCGUACAACGCCAAACUCCUGGGUGUGCAGUGUGGUGGCAAACACGGCCAAAUGGUUUUGGCUGUCCAACGACGCGUUUCGGUCCCUCAGACCUCAUCAGGUUGGCUGUUCUCUAACACACGGCUUCUUACUUGUCUUCACAGCUGGAUGUCCCCUCAUCGACAGCUGGAGAGCGAAUGAGCCGGUGGAGUAGGAGGAGGACUUAUUUAUGAGAGCUCUACAGGGGGUGGAGCUUCGGUUCCCCUGCAGUGUCACAACGGACCCCUCAGCCCAACCACGCAAGACAAUGUAAAUAUGGUUGUUCUUUUGUGCCUCAACUCCUGUCAUGUGUUUGAGCUCCUCACCACACUGACAUGGUGCCACUUGCACUCACGUCCCUCGCAAACAGAGUCCCCAGGAAGCCCCACGACCGGCAGAACGCCACCCAAAGACGGACUGGAGGCACUGGCGGGUUAGGUUUGGGGUUAGGAUUAGGGUUGGGGUAAGGGUGUGCUCGGUCCGUCUGCAGCCCGCCCGGGCGACGCCCACACCAGUCGCAGAACCCCCCGAGAACCCCGAAGGCGUACAACGCCAAACUCCUGGGUGUGCAGUGUGGUGGCAAACACGGCCAAAUGGUUUUGGCUGUCCAACGACGCGUUUCGGUCCCUCAGACCUCAUCAGGUUGGCUGUUCUCUAACA
Long non-coding RNA from Nerophis ophidion (straightnose pipefish), 4454 nucleotides. RefSeq lists it as uncharacterized. NCBI's taxonomy places the organism in Eukaryota, Metazoa, Chordata, Actinopteri, Syngnathiformes, Syngnathidae. The record is from RefSeq and is a predicted model, not a curated record. The transcript is spliced from 6 exons.